This 2466-nucleotide ribosomal RNA is filed under the name Juncus effusus. Its description in RNAcentral is "eukaryotic LSU rRNA". The record is from RNAcentral. Lineage: Eukaryota; Viridiplantae; Streptophyta; Magnoliopsida; Poales; Juncaceae.
ACAAUGAACUUGAGUUGGGUCUCAGGUUCUCUAAUAUUCUCACUCAGCUCCGCAAUCUUUCUAGUUUUCAUUUCAUUCAGAUCUGCAAGAGCCUUCGUCCUUGAAGUCUGAUUUGAAGCCCAGCGCUCAUAAUAAUGAGUGUAUCUCUCAAGAGAGUUCUUAGCCAUUUCUCUUCUUCUCUCAGCCUCAUCAUACACUCCUUGCUUCUUUGCUGAUUCAUAACUAUUGCAAGCAUAAAAACCGCCAGUUCUCUCUCCAUGUUGAGACCAGUCACCAAGACACAACCAGCAGAAGUCGAAUUUGCAAGGAGGAGUGCAAGUCAUGUGCAUGCAGCCUUGGUUCUUCUCUAUUGGCCGCUUGCAUUUAGGGCAAGGUUUCGAAUUAGCCAAUAUCCAGUUCAUGUUUUCAGACUCAGCACUGUUCUUCAAAACCCACUUCUCUACUGUACUGCAGUCCACAGGUCGGUGCGCUUCCUCAACACAAUUCCAACAGAAGGAGAAAGAGCAGCCGCAACAAACAUCAUAGUUACUGUUUCCAAUCAUAAACUCCACUGCAAAUUCACAGCCAGGCGAAGGGCACCACUUUGUCUUUCUGCUAUCUUCAACAUAAGACCUUAACAUAAACCGAGCGUAUUUCUCUUUAUCUUCAUCUUUAGCUAACUUAUUAAUCAAAUCUUGAGUUACCACAACAGAACAAGACGGCUCAGGACAUCUCAAGUUCAAACAACCAGGUCCACCAUUUAUUGCUGCACCUAUGUAACCUUGCCAGCACGUGAAACAGUAAUGAUGACCACAUUCAGCAUCACAGACUUUACUCGAUGGUAAUUCCUCAAAGCAUAUUCCACAUUUCAUUUUUCGUGCUCUGCGAACUUCAACUGGAGUCUCCAGUAAUCCAACAGAUUUACGAACYGCASUCCWCAKKUGCRRWSCRCUUCMUCAACACAAUUCCAACAGAAGGAGAAAGAGCAGCCGCAACAAACAUCAUAGUUACUGUUUCCAAUCAUAAACUCCACUGCAAAUUCACAGCCAGGCGAAGGGCACCACUUUGUCUUUCUGCUAUCUUCAACAUAAGACCUUAACAUAAACCGAGCGUAUUUCUCUUUAUCUUCAUCUUUAGCUAACUUAUUAAUCAAAUCUUGAGUUACCACAACAGAACAAGACGGCUCAGGACAUCUCAAGUUCAAACAACCAGGUCCACCAUUUAUUGCUGCACCUAUGUAACCUUGCCAGCACGUGAAACAGUAAUGAUGACCACAUUCAGCAUCACAGACUUUACUCGAUGGUAAUUCCUCAAAGCAUAUUCCACAUUUCAUUUUUCGUGCUCUGCAAACUUCAACUGGAGUCUCCAGUAAUCCAACAGAUUUACGAACCGACUCCUCAUUUGCAAACCACUCAUCAUUCACUUCACUCGCAUCCCAUUUGAAGUGGCGUAAAAGGAUCAAUGCGUGUUCUUUAGAAAUGGAAAGUAUGUUUGAAACUUCAGCUGUUGCUUCCUCUUGCCGCUGGCUUAUAUCCUCCUCUUUCAGAACUGUAAAUCUCUCAUUGCGCCGCCGGAUCAAAUCGACCGAAUCAUCCUCCUCCUUGUUCCCAAAAUCGUAAUCAGGGUCGCUCUCGUCGCUGUCCCCGCCGUCUUCGCUGUAGUAAUAAUCCUCGUCGUAAAUAAGCUCUGAAUCGCUCGCGUCGAGCAUGUCCUCGUCGGAAUCCAUCUCGAUCAAUCAAUCCACCAGAUCGAUCGGCUCCGAUCCUUAUCGAAGAAGAAGAAGAAGAUGAAGAAGUAGAAUAWGACUGGUUGAAGUGUCACUUUGUUUUGGAAUAUCAUUUUGGACAAGACCACGACAUUGUCAGGUGGGGAGUUUGGCUGGGGCGGCACAUCUGUUAAACGAUAACACAGGUGUCCUAAGGUGAGCUCAAAGAGAACAGAAAUCUCUUGUAGAACACAAGGGUAAAAGCUCACUUGAUUGGGAUUUUCAGUAUGAAUACCAAGUGUGAAAGCAUGGCCUAGCGAUCCUUUACAAUUGUGUGAAUUUCACGGUAGAGGUGUCAGAAAAGUUACCACAGGGAUAACUGGCUUGUGGCAGCCAAGCGUUCAUAGCGACGUUGCUUUUUGAUUCUUCGAUGUCGGCUCUUCCUAUCCCUGCCUCGCAUCUGGGGCAAACGGUAAGAUUGUUCACCUACCAACAGGGAACGUGAGCUGGGAUUAGACCGUCGCGAGACAGGUUAGUUUUAUCCUACUGAUAGUAUUGGGUCGGGACAGUAAUUCAACUCAGUACGAGAGGAACCGUUGAUUCGCAUGACUGGUAAAUUCGGUUGCCUGGGAAGGCAUUGCUGAGAAGCUGUCAUGCGUGGGAUGACGGCUGAACGCCUCUAAGCCGGAAGCCUGGCUGGAACGACCUUGAGUCCGCUUUCCAUUGUUUUUGAAUCAGAGUGGCGGACGACCUAGGGAGCUUGUAGACGACUUGUUUCGAAC